GCUUAUCGUGAAUUGACCUUCCCGUGAAGAGGCGGGGAUACUAUGACAAUAAGCACGAGAAGACCCUAUGGAGCUUUAAUUAACCGACCCAAAGAGAUCUUGAUAAUCAACCGACAGGGAUAACAUACCUCUACCAUGGGCCGACAAUUUAGGUUGGGGUGACCUCGGAGAAUAAAACAACCUCCGAGUGAUUUAAAUCUAGACUAACUAGUCGAAAGUACUACAUCACUUAUUGAUCCAAAAACUUGAUCAACGGAACAAGUUACCCUAGGGAUAACAGCGCAAUCCUAUUUUAGAGUCCAUAUCGAAAGASRAKYKUGCGCUGUUAUCCCUAGGGUAACUUGUUCGCGUUGAUCAAGUUUUUGGAUCAAUAAGUGAUGUAGUACUUUCGACUAGUUAGUCUAGAUUUAAAUCACUCGGAGGUUGUUUUAUUCUCCGAGGUCACCCCAACCUAAAUUGUCGGCCCAUGGUAGAGGUAUGUUAUCCCUGUCGGUUGAUUAUCAAGAUCUCUUUGGGUCGGUURAUUAAAGCUCCAUAGGGUCUUCUCGUCUUAUUGUCAUAUUCCCGCCUCUUCACGGGAAGGUCAAUUUCACGGAUAUGGAAGUAAGAGACAGUAAAGCCCUCGAUUGCGCUGUUAUCCCUAGGGUAACUUGUUCGUUGAUCAAGUUUUUGGAUCAAUAAGUGAUGUAGUACUUUCGACUAGUUAGUCUAGAUUUAAAUCACUCGGAGGUUGUUUUAUUCUCCGAGGUCACCCCACCUAAAUUGUCGGCCCAUGGUAGAGGUAUGUUAUCCCUGUCGGUUGAUUAUCAAGAUCUCUUUGGGUCGGUUAAUUAAAGCUCCAUAGGGUCUUCUCGUCUUAUUGUCAUAUUCCCGCCUCUUCACGGGAAGGUCAAUUUCACGGAUAUGGAAGUAAGAGACAGUAAAGCCCUCGA
RNAcentral lists this ribosomal RNA (932 nucleotides) under Panthera onca (jaguar). Its description in RNAcentral is "partial 16S ribosomal RNA". The record is from RNAcentral. Lineage: Eukaryota; Metazoa; Chordata; Mammalia; Carnivora; Felidae.